GACGAACGCUGGCGGCGUGCCUAAUACAUGCAAGUCGAACGCUUCUUUCCUCCCGAGUGCUUGCACUCAAUUGGAAAGAGGCGUGGCGGACGGGUGAGUAACACGUGGGUAACCUACCCAUCAGAGGGGGAUAACACUUGGAAACAGGUGCUAAUACCGCACAACAGUUUAUGCCGCAUGGCAUAAGAGUGAAAGGCGCUUUCGGGUGUCGUUGAUGGAUGGACCCGCGGUGCAUUAGCUAGUUGGUGAGGUAACGGCUCACCAAGGCCACGAUGCAUAGCCGACCUGAGAGGGUGAUCGGCCACACUGGGACUGAGACACGGCCCAGACUCCUACGGGAGGCAGCAGUAGGGAAUCUUCGGCAAUGGACGAAAGUCUGACCGAGCAACGCCGCGUGAGUGAAGAAGGUUUUCGGAUCGUAAAACUCUGUUGUUAGAGAAGAACAAGGACGUUAGUAACUGAACGUCCCCUGACGGUAUCUAACCAGAAAGCCACGGCUAACUACGUG
Molecule: ribosomal RNA, 508 nt
Filed under: uncultured bacterium
Lineage: Bacteria
Description: partial 16S ribosomal RNA
Rfam family: Bacterial small subunit ribosomal RNA
Source: RNAcentral